Long non-coding RNA from Acyrthosiphon pisum (pea aphid), 5789 nucleotides. RefSeq lists it as uncharacterized. The record is from RefSeq and is a predicted model, not a curated record. The transcript has 3 exons. NCBI's taxonomy places the organism in Eukaryota, Metazoa, Arthropoda, Insecta, Hemiptera, Aphididae.
AUUGAUUUUUUUUAUGUUGUAAUAUAUUAUAUUUCUACCUAUUAUAUUAAUAAAUACAUAAAAUGAUUUGGAAGCAAUAACGAUCAUACAUUGGUAUGGAAAAUUAUAAAAUAAAUUAUUUACUUAACUUAAAUCAUUAUAAACUCAGACACCCAGAAGUAAUGCCAUUGCAUCAUACCGCAGCACAUCAAAAGAUAACACCCAAGAGCAAUAAUCAUUCACGGGAGCAGAUUACCAGAACGCAAUAUCUAAUGCACGGCCACCAACGAAUUAAUGAUUUCCACAUAGGGGAACAUACAAUAUUAUCAGACUAAGAAAAUUAUUAAGACCGUCAAAAUUAAACAUAUAAAAAACAACGAUUGUGGUACCGGGCAUCCGCCGAAAGUAAUAAUUACAAAGUAAUAAAAACUAAUUACAUUAUAGACACCAUCUCACCGACAAUAUCAAAGGAUUGAUACGAGCAUACACCAGAUGAUGCAAUCGUACCUAUAUAACAACAAGACCAUUAAGACAACACACACAUUCAAAUCUAAAUAUCUAGCCAGCACCCGGCAUUAAAUACAAAACGCAAUAAAAUUAAUACACGGAUGCCAACGGUAGAAAGAAGAAAAUAAGCACACGAACCAAGUGCAAAGAAUCAAGAAUGUCAAACUGCAAGCUUAAUGACUUAUAAUUACUUCAUACACCAUAUGCAUUGCACACAAGAACACGAAUCUUGCAUCAAGCACCAUUCAAGCGAGCCCAUAUCGACCAAUGAAUCGUCAGAAGCAAUCACUCAUCAACAAACAAACCAAGUAUAAAAGUUAUACAUCUAUCAUAAUAAAUGACAAGCACAAUAAAGCACAAUAAUGUGUGCUUACCUCAACAAUAAUAUAGGUACAACAAUAAUUAUUCGGCAAUAAUCAAUACGCAAGUUUAAUUACAAUCACGGAAGACGCACAAUGCCUGAACCACAGCGCCAGGCGGCCAGCACACUGGAUGCUGCGUACCAAUAAUCUAAGAGGGGACGAAACCGGUCAUAUAAAAACGACGCAGCACGCCAGACCACACUCCAGUCCAUCUCCACAAGCAGAGCAGUGUGUACCUCUACGGGCACGAUGCUUCUCUGCCCAGAGCACACGAGAUCAUCAUCAGAAGCGAACGAAAUCGAAGACACGAAGUUUAGCUCUAUUUUUCCAAUUACGUAAACUUCUAUCAUAUUUUUAUUACACGCUCAAAAGCCCAGAUUUGAUUAUUACAUUAACUUUUCAAAAUAUCAUGUAUGGUCUUAUUGGUUCGAAAUUCACAUUUUAUGAUACAUACAAUAAUAUCAUCGCAUAAUUCUCAAAUCACAUAAGACCACAAACAUAAUUUUAGAAGUGAACCAUAUUUGGUUAACUAAAACAUAUUGCAAUAAUAACGCGCAUCGAACCACGAACGAUAAAAGAACCUCUCCAAGUACAUCGAGAUUAACAAGCACGUCGUCAAGAUAAACGCAAGACGUAUACACCGACUGAACCGUUAUAUUUGUAGAUAUUUUAAUCCCAGAUCGUAAGACGGGAAAUACGAGGACAGAUAUUAUCGUAUGAUAAUCGAUUUAAAAUGAAUCACCGUACAGUUCGCGGGUCUUCUGAGCACCGGUCACGUCCAGAAAGAAAAAUAACAAGAUACCCUCUAUCGAUCCGCCGGAGUUAAGUGCAUUUGAGCCAGCGAUAACAAAACGAUUAUUAUGUUAAUACCUAAUGCAAUUGCUAUGUCUUUUCAGCUAUUUGUAGCUACCGGAUACAACCACGGCAAUAUCGUUACACGUGGUCCAACAUCCAGUAAUCAAUUAACCGGAGUUAUCUUGCAAAGGCUCAAAUCCCCCGCAGGUAUCGCGGCUAUUGUUGGGUUUUCCGCACAAUGAAGGCUCCGUCGAACCGUAGCUUACAUGCGUAUAACGUCGUCAUAGGUCUCGCACGUCCGUGUUUUCCAUUUGUGUCGUAGCCGCGAUUUCAAAUAAUUUCCCGCCACCGUCGAAGUAAUCUUCGGAAAAAUUACCCGACGCUUUGCCGCAACGAUAACCCUGCUCAGUCUCGACCGUGAGUAUUGUUAAGCGUGAUUGUUGUCCACCUUAUAUAGUUUUUUUUAUCACGACGAUGCUUUUUCAGAUUUCGAGAACAAUAAUUGAUUUUGUAUCGAUACCUUCGCAUUAGUUCACUGGUCACGGACUUCGGUCAAGGCCGUAAUCGUAAAAAAAAUAAAUACAAUAAUCUUUCGCAUAAACUACCGUUCACGUAUUUCCGGUGGAUCCCGCUUGAUUAUGCGAUCACUCAUUUCUACCGCAAAAUGAACAAAUAAAAACCUAAACAAAAUUAUUAUUUUUUUUUUGUUUUUUAAUUUUCAAUCGACCUUUGAUUUAAACACUGUGCAGUAAUUGAUGUUUUUGCGGCUACGUUUAAUGACAUAGUUUUAAGCUUAUGUAUAUUACAGGAAAGUGAGGUUGACUAUAACUUAUAUUUGAUUUAGUUUCGUUCCUUUAAAGUGAUUUUUGUUUUUCAAUAAUAUGUUGACUGUGGUCUAUAGUUGUUGAAUUUUUAAGUGUAAUAGUAAAUGAUAGCCCACUGUAUAUCAAUUACAUGGAGAAUUUCGUUUAAAUUUAUUCAGAAACAGAAUCGAUUUGAAUUCGAAACUAAUAAGACAGAAUACAUGUUUCAUAAACUACUUUCAUUAAGAAAUUUAAAUAUGCAAAAUAAUUUAGUUAGGUACCGAGUGGAAUAUUAGAUAACAAAAGUGGUAUUUAAAAAAAAAAAAAACUUUGUUUGAGUAUUAAAAGUGCAUUGAAAGUUUUUUACAUUUAAAUUCAGAACAAAAUCGUUUGUAGUUUAUAAUACUUGAAAUUUAUAUCGAAAUUUUACAUUAAACUACGCUUUAAUAAUAAUAUAUUAUUAUAAUAUUAUAUUGUGUAUGACUUCCGGUUUCAAUCACAAAAAAAUUACAUUUUGUCGCUGAUACCGUGCGUACAUUAUUGCCGAACAGCAGUAUUGUUUUAAACGAAUGCAAUAUUUUUGUUAAGCUCCCGGUAAAUUACGUAUUAAAGCCAAGGUAAAUCUUCUGUCGAGGGGAAACAUUAAGGAGCACAGCCAGCUAAGACCCAUCCUUUUCUCCGUGUUCUCCUCACCAGUGCACCUACCACACUACGCUUUCCUGUAAACGUAUAAUAUCAUAUUUUCCUGGGCCCGGGUCAUUAGCUAUGUACUAACGGUAUGUUCGGAAAACCUGCAAACCUGCAGCUCUGCCCUUAAUUUCCUGGGAGUUCCGUUCAAAUAAUGAUCAUGCGAUUUGCAAUUAAUUUAAUCUCCUCUUCAUCCACCACUAUACUGCUACGUAUUAACAUUUAAGUCUGUGAUUCGAAUCUCGGAACGUUUAAUUUGGAUACUUUCUCGUUGCGGCAAUUUACACCAAAGUAAAUUUUAAUUACCCAACUGCUGCAUACUUUGCUAUAUUCUUUACCAAAACUGAUAUUAAACUUGAAAUAUAUUGCAGGGAUGCCAAUGGACAUUAAAAAACAACCAUUUGUUUGUUUUAUUAAAACUGUACGUAUCAUAGAUUGUGAUUUUUGUUUAUUUAUAAGAUACUAAAUAUUAUUUGAAAUUAAAUAACGAUUCAGAGUAUCAUUUAAUCUCCUUUUUAAAAUAAUAUUAGAUACUAAAAUUUUGUUAGCAAAAUAUAAAAUCGAGUUACUUAUAUAGUUUUAUAAAUUAAUGUAUUUAUUGUUUUAAUCUCAUUCAAUCCUGCAGAUACACUGUAUUUUUCAAAUGAUAAAUAUUGUCUCAAGAACUUCAGAAUAGGUAAUGUGUUAAUUUUGCCAAUACUUAUAUAAAUAUAUAACAUAUAAUAUAUAUUUAUCGAAUAAACAAAAUUAUGAAUUCCCGAAAAAUGGCUUUAUUUUGACCUAAUAGUACGACGAAUCGUUUGAACGGUGUGAAUGCGUUCAUAUGUUAUUAUGGUUAUUACCACUACCGCGAUAAGCUUUAACGGUUCAACGAUCAAAUUACGAUAUAUUAUCAUAAUCGCGCUUGUUGUCGCAACGGUCCAAAAAUAUUUUUAAAAAGGACACCGGUCGAUGACGGUAAACCGCUGCCUUUUCAGAUCGCUAUAUAGAACCCACAAGAGUCGCACAUUAUUAUCGUAUUGAAUUUUCGUAUUGUAUUAUUAUUUUAUUUUUUCACCGAAGCGACUCACGGUACAUUAGACGGGAGCGAUAUGUGACCGGCCGUUACCAAUUGUCCUGCCAUCACACCAUCACGCUGUUCUGUUUAUACGUAUAUGUGUGCAUAUAAAAUCGUAUAAUAAUAAUAAUAAUAUCUACCUCCCUUUUGUCGUCGUUUACGAUCUCGUUUUCAUGUUGUUUCGAUCGAAACGACGACGCCGCCGACCCGCAAAAGCUUCGGUAGCGGAAAACGGACGAUAAAAUAAAACGGACCGCGUUUAAUUCACCCACGGCGUCCACGUCGUCGUACAAUAAAAAUUCAAUUCUCCUCUCGUUCGUUUUUCUUUCCGCACAUCGGUCCGUUUAUAACGAUUUGAAUAGCGUUUCCGGUGUGUUAAACACGCCCGCAUUAAACUAUAGUCAAAAGUUAUGGACUCUCUUUUCUUCUUAUUUUAUUUUAUUAUUUUCGCAUAUCCUCGUUGUGUAUACACAACAAUAAUAUUUAACUUAUAUAUAUAAUAUAUUUAUUUAUAUUUAUAAUGGCACCUUUUCUUCGUGCACGCUUAGAGCUCGCUGCAGCGGGUAUAAUAGUCGUGUGGUUAUAAUAACGAUAACAAUAUAUAUAUUGUGGUAAGGCUUGUGCGUAUACAUGUCUGUGUGUAUAAAUCGUUCGCGAGAACGAUGACGACUGUCUAAUUUAUGGCCAGGGAAAACGCUCGCUGUCCGAUUGCGUUUUGGUGCGAGUGACACAAAUACACUUUCACACGCACGCACAUACUUAGGUACAUAUUUUACUCUUUCGCUCGGCACACGGACGUGAGAACAUUUUGCAUUCGCCGUUAAUGCUUUCGAGUUUAAUGUUUCACAUACGGUGACGACGACGAUGACGACUACUGCGGCCGCGCCGACGAUGACUGCUGCCGUGCCACACCACAAACUCCAUUAUCGUCUUGCAAGAUGCAUUCGGUGAGUAUAAGCAUCCGGUAUGGGAACGUUCUGGAUGUGUCGCACGUGUCCGACGGGGUUACCCGCCCCGAAAACUUCGGUCGCGAAUAACACGUGCUAUUACGAAUUCUCUCUUCGUCUAACAUCGUCUCCCCUCCCCAUCGGCAUCAACUCCAAAAGCCCGUGCACUCGGUGUAAGUCUUCAUCCGUUUCCAUUGCCACGUCGACGUGAAACGACAGUAUAUAAGGACUCUAUAAUAUGGUUUUGCGUUUUUCUUCUCAUAUACGCACCACCAAUGAUGUUCAACGCGACAACGUACGCUUUGACAAUCGCAUUACAACACCGCACCACUCGCAGUCGUCAACAGCGAAACGAAUAGAUCGCACGACAACGAAUGGUGAUCCAUCGCAUACAUAUUAUUAUUAUAUACAUUAAACGUAAUAUUAUGGUAUUUUGUGUUGUAAGGCAAUACUUUUUUUUUACGAAUAUUUUGAUAUGUAUAUAUUUUUUUACUAUACAAUUCAUAUUUUUAAAACUUUUCCCCAUUGUUUCUUAAUUUUGACCUUAACAUAAAAUGUACUAAUUAUUUGAUUGGAUGUUUGAACAAAAGUUUCAACAUCCAAAACUACUGGAGUUAAAUAAAAAUUAAUGUUGUUCAGUUCAAAAAUUGUA